GGCGGGACACGUGGUAUCCUGUCUGAAUAUGGGGGGACCAUCCUCCAAGGCUAAAUACUCCUGACUGACCGAUAGUGAACCAGUACCGUGAGGGAAAGGCGAAAAGAACCCCGGCGAGGGGAGUGAAAAAGAACCUGAAACCGUGUACGUACAAGCAGUGGGAGCACGCUUCGGCGUGUGACUGCGUACCUUUUGUAUAAUGGGUCAGCGACUUAUAUUCUGUAGCAAGGUUAACCGAAUAGGGGAGCCGAAGGGAAACCGAGUCUUAACUGGGCGUUAAGUUGCAGGGUAUAGACCCGAAACCCGGUGAUCUAGCCAUGGGCAGGUUGAAGGUUGGGUAACACUAACUGGAGGACCGAACCGACUAAUGUUGAAAAAUUAGCGGAUGACUUGUGGCUGGGGGUGAAAGGCCAAUCAAACCGGGAGAUAGCUGGUUCUCCCCGAAAGCUAUUUAGGUAGCGCCUCGUGAAUUCAUCUCCGGGGGUAGAGCACUGUUUCGGCAAGGGGGUCAUCCCGACUUACCAACCCGAUGCAAACUGCGAAUACCGGAGAAUGUUAUCACGGGAGACACACGGCGGGUGCUAACGUCCGUCGUGAAGAGGGAAACAACCCAGACCGCCAGCUAAGGUCCCAAAGUCAUGGUUAAGUGGGAAACGAUGUGGGAAGGCCCAGACAGCCAGGAUGUUGGCUUAGAAGCAGCCAUCAUUUAAAGAAAGCGUAAUAGCUCACUGGUCGAGUCGGCCUGCGCGGAAGAUGUAACGGGGCUAAACCAUGCACCGAAGCUGCGGCAGCGACACUAUGUGUUGUUGGGUAGGGGAGCGUUCUGUAAGCCUGUGAAGGUGUACUGUGAGGUAUGCUGGAGGUAUCAGAAGUGCGAAUGCUGACAUAAGUAACGAUAAAGCGGGUGAAAAGCCCGCUCGCCGGAAGACCAAGGGUUCCUGUCCAACGUUAAU
RNAcentral lists this ribosomal RNA (953 nucleotides) under Escherichia coli. RNAcentral describes it as "partial 23S ribosomal RNA". It matches the Rfam family "Bacterial large subunit ribosomal RNA", at positions 416 to 1369 of the family's 2925-position model. Lineage: Bacteria; Pseudomonadati; Pseudomonadota; Gammaproteobacteria; Enterobacterales; Enterobacteriaceae. The record is from RNAcentral.